This 386-nucleotide long non-coding RNA is filed under the name Elaeis guineensis (African oil palm). RNAcentral's name for it is "long non-coding RNA (EGUI_LNC007851)". Lineage: Eukaryota; Viridiplantae; Streptophyta; Magnoliopsida; Arecales; Arecaceae. The record is from RNAcentral.
GUGGCUGGGCAUUCUCGAACCUACGACUGAACUCAUCAUUCAUUGCCGCCAGCAUAAUGCACCAAACGGUGGUGUGGUCGUUGAGCCACUUCUGAUAAGUAUCUCGGACCGUCCCUCUAACGUUCGGGGCUGGCUCCUCAGGUGCCAGAUCCGUUACUACAUAAAGGAUUCGCUCAUGCUCAAGGAUGAUUUUUAAUUUUCGAUACCAGCUAUCGAAAUUAGGUCCCAUGAGCUUGUCAUUAUCUAAUAAUGACCGGAGGGACAAGGUAGUGGCCAUAGCUGCAUAAAAGAAAAUCAGACCUCUAUUAGUACAUAAAUUAUAAAUACUAAAGAUUUGGACUUUAGUCUAAAGUUUCUCCCAGUAUUUUUACGAACUGGUAGCCUCA